UGGUAGCGGCAGCGGAGGAACUGGGAUUGCAAUCGGCGGCGGCAAGUGGAAAGAUUCAAGCGGCGGCGGCGGAUGUCUCCACUGAGGAAGCGGACCCGCGAGAAGCAGAGUCUGGAGAAGCGGACCAGCUUUCAUGACGGCCUGCAACAGCUUACCCUUUUCCGGCAAUGGCUUAUCGGAGACCCAAUCGGCGAUUUCCGGUGGUGGGGGAACGGGAGACGAAACCGAAACGAUACUCUCGUCGCAAUCGGAGGAAGAGAAAGCAUUUUGGGAGUCGAAUCCUUUUGUGGGGUCGUCGUCAAUGGUGGAAAUUCCAGAGAGAGGAGGACGAUGAUGAUGGUGGAA
RNAcentral lists this unclassified non-coding RNA (345 nucleotides) under Hevea brasiliensis (rubber tree). The record is from RNAcentral. Lineage: Eukaryota; Viridiplantae; Streptophyta; Magnoliopsida; Malpighiales; Euphorbiaceae.